Molecule: long non-coding RNA, 10663 nt
Filed under: Homo sapiens (human)
Lineage: Eukaryota; Metazoa; Chordata; Mammalia; Primates; Hominidae
Description: non-protein coding lnc-ZNF836-1:5
Source: RNAcentral
AGCCUUGCCCCACCCUUUCAGGGUUCCCAAAUCUGGCCAGUCUUUCUGCCCUUUCCCUUGCGGGUCGCACCCCGCCCAGGCCCCUCUCCCGCCCCAGGUCUCUCAGUCUUUUUUCUCAGGGCGUGUAGCUUCCUGCACACCCGGAAGCAGAUCGCGCGGGGAAAAGAUCACAGCGCUGCGCGUCAGUUUCCGUCUACCUGGACUAAACAUUUGCUUCGCCCCGUCUGCCUGAAUCGAACGUGCACUUGGCAGUCUUCCCUUGUCCAUACCCGUUUCCUGGGGAUCGCUACGGACCUUAAAAUACCAGCAACAGCCCCUUCGCCCCAAGGUCUUGCUCUGUCAGACUAGAGUACAGUGCCAUGAUCUCCGCUCACUGCAGCCUCAACCUCCUGGGCUCAAGCAGUCUUUCUGCCUCAGAGUGCUGGGAUUACAGACGGGAGCCACCACGCCAGGCCUACGAGAUUUGACUUGUAAAGAAUUAAUUAUAUUGACUGAGAGAGAAGCCCAGAAGAGGAAGAAGAGGAAAGAAAAGGAGUCAGGGAUGGCUCUUACACAGGGACCUUUGACAUUCAGGGAUGUAGCCAUAGAAUUCUCUCAGGAGGAGUGGAAAUCCCUGGACCCUGUGCAGAAAGCUUUGUACUGGGAUGUGAUGUUGGAGAACUACAGGAACCUGGUCUUCCUGGGUAUCCUUCCUAAAUGUAUGACCAAGGAAUUACCACCAAUAGGGAACAGUAAUACAGGAGAAAAAUGCCAAACAGUGACGCUGGAAAGACAUGAAUGUUAUGAUGUUGAAAAUUUUUACUUAAGGGAAAUCCAGAAAAAUCUACAGGACCUUGAGUUUCAAUGGAAAGAUGGUGAAAUAAAUUAUAAAGAAGUGCCAAUGACCUAUAAAAACAAUCUUAAUGGUAAAAGAGGUCAACAUAGUCAAGAGGAUGUAGAAAACAAAUGUAUUGAAAAUCAGCUUACAUUAAGCUUUCAGUCACGUCUGACUGAACUGCAGAAAUUUCAAACUGAAGGGAAAAUUUAUGAGUGUAACCAAUCUGAGAAGACAGUUAAUAACAGUUCCCUAGUUUCACCACUUCAAAGAAUUCUUCCUAGUGUCCAAACCAACAUUUCUAAAAAAUAUGAGAAUGAGUUUUUGCAGCUGUCAUUACCCACCCAACUUGAGAAAACACACAUUAGGGAAAAACCUUAUAUGUGUAAAGGGUGUGGCAAAGCCUUUAGAGUGUCUUCAAGUCUUAUUAACCAUCAGAUGGUACAUACUACAGAGAAACCUUACAAAUGCAAUGAAUGUGGCAAAGCCUUUCAUCGGGGCUCACUACUAACUAUACAUCAGAUAGUCCAUACAAGGGGGAAGCCAUAUCAAUGUGGUGUAUGUGGCAAGAUCUUCAGACAAAAUUCAGAUCUUGUAAAUCACCGGAGAAGUCACACUGGAGAGAAACCGUACAAAUGUAAUGAAUGUGGCAAGUCCUUUAGUCAAAGUUAUAACCUUGCAAUACAUCAGAGAAUUCACACUGGAGAGAAACCUUACAAAUGUAAUGAGUGUGGGAAAACCUUCAAACAAGGCUCAUGCCUCACUACACAUCAGAUAAUCCAUACAGGAGAGAAACCAUAUCAAUGUGAUAUAUGUGGCAAGGUCUUCAGGCAGAAUUCUAAUCUUGUAAAUCACCAGAGAAUCCACACUGGAGAGAAACCAUACAAAUGCAACAUAUGUGGAAAGUCCUUUAGUCAAAGUUCCAACCUGGCAACUCAUCAGACAGUUCAUAGUGGAAACAAACCUUACAAAUGUGAUGAGUGUGGCAAAACCUUUAAACGGAGCUCCAGCCUCACUACACAUCAGAUAAUCCAUACAGGAGAGAAACCAUAUACAUGUGAUGUAUGCGACAAGGUCUUCAGUCAACGUUCACAACUUGCAAGGCACCAGAGAAGUCAUACUGGAGAGAAACCUUACAAAUGCAAUGAAUGUGGCAAGGUCUUCAGUCAGACUUCACAUCUUGUGGGGCAUCGGAGAAUUCAUACUGGAGAGAAACCUUACAAAUGUGAUAAAUGUGGUAAAGCCUUUAAACAGGGCUCAUUACUCACUCGACAUAAGAUAAUUCAUACCAGAGAGAAACGUUACCAAUGCGGUGAAUGUGGAAAGGUCUUUAGUGAAAAUUCAUGCCUUGUAAGACAUUUAAGAAUUCAUACUGGGGAGCAACCUUACAAAUGUAAUGUGUGUGGCAAGGUCUUCAAUUACAGUGGAAACCUUUCAAUUCAUAAGAGAAUACAUACGGGAGAGAAACCUUUCCAAUGUAAUGAAUGUGGCACAGUCUUCAGGAACUACUCAUGCCUAGCACGUCAUCUAAGAAUUCAUACUGGGCAGAAACCUUACAAAUGUAAUGUGUGUGGCAAGGUCUUCAAUGACAGUGGAAACCUUUCAAAUCAUAAGAGAAUUCAUACUGGAGAGAAGCCGUUUCAAUGUAACGAAUGCGGCAAGGUUUUCAGUUACUACUCAUGCCUAGCACGUCAUCGGAAAAUUCAUACCGGAGAGAAACCUUACAAAUGUAAUGAUUGUGGCAAAGCCUAUACUCAGCGUUCAAGCCUCACUAAACAUCUGAUAAUUCAUACUGGAGAGAAACCUUACAAUUGUAAUGAGUUUGGAGGGGCAUUUAUCCAAAGUUCAAAACUUGCAAGAUAUCACAGAAAUCCUACUGGGGAGAAACCACACAAAUGUAGCCAUUGUGGUAGAACUUUUAGUCAUAUAACAGGCCUGACGUACCAUCAGAGAAGGCAUACUGGAGAGAUGCCAUACAAAUGUAUUGAAUGUGGCCAGGUCUUUAAUUCCACUUCGAACCUUGCAAGGCAUCGGAGAAUUCACACUGGAGAGAAACCUUACAAAUGUAAUGAAUGUGGCAAGGUCUUUCGUCAUCAAUCAACACUAGCACGUCAUCGGAGUAUUCAUACUGGAGAGAAACCUUACGUGUGUAAUGAGUGUGGCAAAGCCUUUAGAGUGCGUUCAAUUCUGGUUAAUCAUCAGAAAAUGCAUACUGGGGACAAACCUUACAAAUGUAAUGAAUGUGGUAAAGCUUUUAUUGAAAGGUCAAAGCUGGUGUACCAUCAAAGAAAUCACACUGGAGAGAAGCCAUACAAAUGUAUUGAAUGUGGCAAGGCCUUUGGGCGGUUUUCUUGCCUCAACAAACACCAAAUGAUUCAUUCUGGAGAAAAACCUUAUAAAUGUAAUGAGUGUGGCAAAUCUUUCAUUAGUCGCUCAGGCCUCACUAAACAUCAGACAAAACAUACUGCAGAGAGUCUUAAAACAAAAUUCAAUGUGGAAAAGCCUUUAGAUGUUCUCCUAACUUCUGGGUUCAAAUAAUUCAUACUUAUUGAUAUAGCUUGUAUAUUUGUCACUUCCGUCUGAAAUCUCAUGUGGAAUUUUAAUCCCCUUUAUUGGAGGUGGGGCCCAUUGGGAGGUGAUUGAAUCAUGGAAGUGGAUUUCUCAAACUGAGAAAGAUGUAGCGUCAUCCCCUUGGUGCUGUCCUGGCAAUAGUGACUUCUCUUGAGGUCUGGCUGUUUAGAAGUGCAUAGCACUUCCCUGUCGCUUGCCCUCAUUCUCACCAUGUGAAAUACCGACACCCGCUUUGCCUUCCACCAUGAUUUUAACCUUCCUGAGGCUUCCCUAGAGGGUGAUCAGAUGCCAGCACCAUGUUUUCAUUUAAGCCUUCAGAAAUAUGAGCCAAUUAAACUCUUUUCUUUAUACAUUAGCCAGCCUCAGGUUUUUUUUUGUAGCAAUGCAGUUAUGACCUAAUACAUUUACACAUGCAGUAAAUAUACCUAAGUUUUAAGCUAGUAUUCACUACUCACUAGGUGUAAGAAUUUGUAUAUAUAUUCCAGGAUGUAUACAUCCUGGAGAAAAAUCACAGAAGUGUAAUACGUGUGGCAAGAAUUCUACUCAAAAGCCAGAACUUGUAAAUCUAGGUAAUUAAAAGGGCAUAGAUGUAUGAAAUGAAAUGAGGGUGGCAAAACCUUUACUAGAGUUCAAUCACUACUUGUCAUAAGAGAGUUUAUACUGAAAGGAAAUCAUAUAAAUGUAUGUGUCAGAGGCUUUCCCCAGGCAUUGGAACUCACUAGGCAUCAGAAUAUACAUCUUUGAGAGGAACCACAGAAAUGUAAUGUGCAUGCUAAGGUUUUUACCCGAACAUCAAAAUGGAAAGAGUAUUCAUACUAGAGACAACCUUCCAAAUAAAUGGUUUUAAAAAAUGAAAUGUUCAAAGACCUGGAAUCAACCCAAAUGCUUAUCAGUGAUAGACUGAAUAAAGAAAAUGUGGUACAUAUACACCAUGGGAUACUAUGCAGCCAUAGAAAGGAAUGAGAUCAUGUCCAUUGCAGCGAUGUGGAUGGAGCUGGAAGCCAUUAUCCUCAGGAAACUAACACAGGAACAGAAAAUCAAACAGCACAUGUUCUCACUUAAAAGUGGAAGCUGAACAAUGAGAACACAUAUACCCAGGGAGGGGAGCAACACACACUGGGGCCUGCUGAUGGGGGUGGGAAGGGCAGGGAAGUGGAGCAUCAGGACAAAUAGCUAAUGCAUUUUUGCCUUAAUACCAGGUGAUGGGUUGGUAGAUGCAGCAAACCACCAUGGCACACAUUUUCCUAUGUAACAAAUUUGCAAAUUGUGCACAUGUACCCAGAACUUAAAGUGAGACAAAACCAAUGUCCACGCCUUUGCAGUUUGAUUGAACGUAUAAAGGAGAAAAAUCCUGUAAGUAUGCUGAACAUGAAAGGACCUGGAAGCAGUAGUGUGUCUUCAGCCUUUACCAAAUUAUCCCUACUUGAGAGAAAACUUGGAAAUGUAAUCAAUGUGGCACAAAUUUCAACCAGUUUUUUAAACAGACUACACAUCUUUGAAAUCAUACUAGGGAUAACCAAAUCUGCUUCUCCAAGAUUGGCCUGGAAUAUUAUUACAGAAUAACUACCAGACAACAUUUGUUAAAACUCAGGACAGUAUGUAUUUUAAAGGAGCAAGUGCAUGUGUGAAAAUGGCUCAUUCAGUUUAUAAAAUAUUACAUUAAAUUUGAGGUUUCUGUUUUUUUUCUUUUGUGACAGUCUUGCUCUGUUCCCCAUGCUGUAGUGCAGUGGCACCAGUUCACCUCACUGUAACUUCCACAUCCUGGUUUCAAGCAAUUUGUGCCUCAGCCUCCCAAGUAGCUGGGAUUACAGUCAUGCCACCAUGUCCAGAUAAUUUUUAUAUUUUUUUGUAGAGAUGGUGUUUUACCAUGUUUGCCAGGCUGAUCUCAAGCUCCUGGCCUCAAGUGAUUUGCCACCUUGGCCUCACACGUUGCUGAGAUUACAGGCAUGAGCCACCACACCUGGCCAAUGGGGCGUUUCUUAAAAUAGCUACUAGACUAUGACGUUUAUCCUAAGGUUUGAAGUCUAUCAUCUUCCUUACAUAUCCUUCAUUGUGGUAUCUGGGAAUGAAUCAACAAGAUGAGAGAGCCUCCUUCAUUCAGUGUGGCUCCUUCAUUUCCAUGCUUCCUGAAGAUUAAGGUCACUGAAUUUUAAAAUUCAAUAUUCUGUGAGUUACACACCAUGGAGUAACUGGGAGAAUAAUGUAAGUUUAUGAUGUAAGUUGUGCUUGUGUUCCAGGUGUCCAUGAACACGUAGAGUGCCACUUUGGGUUGUAGAAAAUAAUUGCACAACCAACUGACUGAAAUACCAGUGAGGACAUUGAUGGAAUAUUAAGGGUAUUCAUGAGAGGCAAGUGAUAGGUUACUAGGGAUGGAUUGUGUGGGAGAAAUAAUGCAGAGGAAAUGAUGAUCAUCUCCAUUGAAUGACAGCUGUUAUAUAGCAAAGAUAAAUGUAAAAUUAGUCUUAUUCUUGGAAGUGGAAGACAGCAGUUAUCAGAGAGGAGAAUUUAAUCAAAAGAAUCAGAAUAGCAUGGUCACAGGCCAGAUUCACAUUGAAGUAUUUACUCUAUAUUUUACUGCUGUUACAUUCAAAAUGUAUCAGAAGUCUCAUGGUUCAAUUAAUAAAAUGUUAUUCGUUUUCGUAACUCAGUGACGUUCCUUUCACCAACACAGAUUUAUCCCACCUUAGUAAAGAACUUCUAACAGACACUGCAUUACACUCUGCUGGUUAAAAUAAUGUGCGACAAUUGUUUUCUAUGGCGAAAUCAAACAACAUAGAUUUUUGCCCAUACCAUAGUCCCCCUUUAACCCACAAGAUGCCUUCCAAGUGUCCUCUAGUGGAUACCUGAAAGUGGAUAGUACCCAACCAUAAAUAUAUAGUUUCAGUCAAGUUUUGAGGUGUGACAGCAAAGCUAGUACUGAUUAUUUUUAUUCACACUUGUACAGAAGAUUUAUGAUAAAUCUUAGCAUCUUCAUCUGUAUUUUUUUCUUAUUAAAUCAAUAACCUUUCACUUUUUAACUUAAAGGAGGCGCUUUACAGCUUUCUUGCUUUCUCUUUUUUUUUUUUUUUUUUUUUUUUUUUUGUUAGGGGGUUUUGCUAUGUCACCCAGGCUGAGUGCAGUGGUUAUUCACAGGUAAGAUCUUAGCACACUGCAGCGUCAAAAAGUGGUCCUCCCACCUCAGCCUCCAGACUACCUGAGACUACAGGUACAUGCUAUUGUGUCUAGCUUACAGCUUCUCUGAGAUAUCCAAGUUGCAAGCCUCACUACUUUUGUGCUUUGGGGCCAUAAUUAAGUAAAAUAGGAGAUACUUGAACACAAACACGAUGAUACUCUAACAACGCUAACUGAGAUGACUACUAAGUGACUGAGAGAGGGGUAGGUUAUUCUGUGUGGCUACACCGUAUAAAGGGAUGAUUUAUGUCCUGGGUGGAACAAUGUGAAAUUUCAUCACAUUAGUGAGAACAGUGUACAGUUUAAAAUUUCCGAGUUAUUUAUUUUGGGAAUAUUCCAUUUAAUGUUUUUGGGCCACAGUUGCCACUGGUAAUUGAAAUCAUGGAAAGCAAAACAGCAGCUAAUGUGGGAUGACUGUACCAAUGUCUUGGGGGGAGGGAGCCAGCUGAUUGUGAGAUGUAAGUUUGUGAUUCUGAGAUAGCAGCUUUGCAAAAAACUGCAAUUUGUCAAUUCACCAAUAUUGAUAAUGUGCAAGCUUGGUGAGCUGAGAAUAUUCCUGAAAACCUUUGUUCCCACUGCGAAUUCCUGGGGACAGUUAUGAGUUCCUAAUGACGUCACCACAAAGACAUUUUGGAGUGUUUGGUAAAGGCUGUUUCUUUUCAGUGAUUGCUGGAAGCAGAUGGGAUCAAAUAAAAAUAGAACAUUGUGGGCUCCCAAGGCUGAGGUGGAGCUGGAGGAUGCCGGCCAGACUGCGGAGCAGCAGUCUUCCUUGUGCACAUGCCUGAAGUCCGCGUGGGUGUUUGAGGAAGUGGGGAUACAGCAUUUAAUGAAAAAUUUAUGCUUAAGAAGUAGAAAAUGGCAGUCUUCCUAGAUAAUUUUCAAUGGCCAGAAUGUGAAUGUAUUGACGAGUGAGAGAAGAAAUGUUGUGGCGUCUGUUGUGACAGGUAUAUUGUUUUUUACAGGCUGGUGGAUAAUGACGCAGCAGUGGUGUAUUGUAGGCCAGAACAGUUGAACCAUGCCUUUCACACAUGUGGUGUAUUUCCCACAUUGGCUUUCUUCAUGAUAAAUGCUGUAUCCAAUGCUCAGGUGAGAGGUGAUAGCUAUGAAAGUGGCUGUUUAGGAAGAACAGGUCCUUGAGUUUGGCUUUUCGUUGGUUUCAUGUUGAUGUUUGGGGUACUUAUUGCUUCCAUGUGGAUUCUUUUUGGUGCAUAUGUUACCCAACCACUCUGAUCUACAAAUUUGGAAGAACUGAAGAGCUGUGGACCUGAGAUCACUCCUUAAAUCACAUUUUCUUUGUGUUAUAUUCUGUUUGUAGAUAAGUUUUUAUCUUAGUACACGUUGCCAAAUGGAGUAGCUUGUACAUGAAAUGUUUUCUUUACAUUUUUAUGUUGUGUUAUUUUGUCUUUUUUGUUGUUGUUGUUGCUGUUGUUUUUGAGACAGAGUUUUGUUCUUGUUGCCCAGACUGGAGUGCAAUGGCGCGAUCUCGGCUCACCACAACCUCUGCCUCCUGGGUUCAAGCGAUUCUUCUGCCUCAGCCUCCCAAGUGGCUGGGAUUACAGGCAUGCACCACCACACCCAGCUAAUUUUGUAUUUUUAGUAGAGAUGGGGUUUCUCCCUGUUGGUCAGGCUGGUCUCAAACUCCCAACCUCAGAUGAUCUGCUCGCCUCGACCUCCCAAAGUGCUGGGAUUACAGGCAUGAGCUACCACACCCUGCCUAUGUUGUGUGUUUUUAAAGUUUUAUGAAAUUUCUGUUCUUCAUUUUUCAUUGCAUAGACUGUUAAUAUGUAUAUAGUACAAGACUAUAUGGCUUGGAUAAUGAGUAUCUUUUAUUCCUGAGAUUUAGAACUUGAUCUGUUCCCUAAGCCAGGGUUAUAUCAUCAUGUCAUUUUAGAAGUAACCACUCUCUCUCUGGCCGGGUGCAGUGGCUCACGCCUGUAAUCCCAGCACUUUGGGAGGCCGAGGUAGGUGGAUCACCUGAGGUCAAGUUUGAGACCAGCCUGACCAAUAUGGUGAGACCACAUCUUUACUAAAAAUACAAAAAUUAGCCGGGCAUGGUGUCAGGUGCCUGUAAUCCCAGCUACUUGGGAGGCUGAGGCAGGAGAAUCAUUUGAACGCUGUGGGUGGAGGUUGUAGUGAGCCGAUAUUGCGCCACUGCACUCUAACCUGGGAGACAGAGUGAAAUUCCAUCACCGCCCCCCUAAAAAAAGUAACCACUCUCUCUCAGUAUCUCUAAUUUCUGAAGAUGUGCAAAAAAUAUAAUUUUAUAUAGCUGGAAUGAGCACUGAGCCAUAAAAGGUAUUUCAGCAAGUUGUAAUUUAUUUUGGCCUAAAAAUGAGGUUUUUUUGUAAAGGAAAAAUGUUUGUUCUUAUGUAUUGAAGAAGUGUACGUUUAUAUAAUGAUUUUUUAAAUGCCCAAAGGACUAGUUUGAAAACCUCUUCCAAGAAUUCCUCUAAUAUGACCUUAUAUGAAAAGGGAUAAUACAUGAUCAAAUAAACUCAGUUUUUUUUAUGGUUACUGUAAAAAGACUGUGUAAGGCAGCUUAGCACCAGGCUUCUCAUAAAAGCAGCUUAAAUUAUCCACUGGGGUUAUCUUUUGACAACCUGCUAUUAUCUGGUGUUACACAAUUCAAUAGCAAGCAAGUUUCAGACAACUGCAGUUCAAAAGCAUGAACCAUAUAACAAAAAGUGGAAUAAUUAAAGAUAAGGCACUUCUUCCCAAAGGGAAUUAUCACCUAGUGAAAAAUUACGCAUUUCAUCUACUCAGUUACUGACUGCAAGCAAGUCUCUCUGCUCUAGCUCUCAAGCUUUGGGUGAAUGUCCCUGCGAAAUGUAUCUUCAAGUUGAAAGUUCACACUCCAGUCAAAAACUCCUUUUACUGAGUUUGCAGUACUGUAUUUGCAUGUGUGUAUUUCUCUGGACCUUUAUUGCUACUUUUGCUUUCCUUUGUUACACAGACUUUGUGUUGCACUUUCUUCUCCAGAGGGGUGAUAUAGAGCCCUGGUUAUAUGAAUAAUACCAGUGAUAGUGUCCACAGCUCAAAUGCAAGCCCAUUUGUCAUCACUCCUUUCAUCUCUCUGAGAGGAUUUAUUGUGUGCAGAGUAUGAAGCAGUUGUGGAGCUCUGUGCCUUUGUCAAGAUACCAUCUUGUUUGAUGACUUCUUUCUUUGUUGUUUUUCCUUGAAAAUGUCAGUAAGCUCUGUUAUGCUUCUAGCAAAUUGUGAGACUGUUUGUUUCCACCCUCAUAACCUGUUGCAAUAAAUAUUAUUUCUCACAUAUUUUAAUAUUAUUAAGUUUGUUGGAGAAAACAAACCAUAAAAAUUCAUUUGCUGUUCAGUUUUCAAUUACAAUAAAGAAAUAGAACAUUGUUAAUUUCUGAGACUUGAUGGACAGUAAUAUGGAAAAUCUUUUCGUUUGCCUAUUUGUGCAUCUGCAUCGGUGAAAUUUCUCAUAUUUUUAACCUAUUUUCUAAUUCAAUUUUUUUUCUAUGAUAUACUUUACUUUGUAGAGCAAUUUUUGGUUCCCAGCAAAAUUCAGUGGAAGGUACAGAGAUUUCUCAUAUAGCUCCUUCCCCCACAUAUGCAUAGCCUUCCCCAUUGUCAACAUCCUCCACCAAAGUGGUAGAUUAUCAUCCAACAUCCCUAGUUUAUAGUUGGCUCACACUUGUACAUUGUGUGGGUUUGGACAACUGUAAAAUGGCACAUAUUCACAUAUUAUGGUAACAUACAGAGUACUUUGACUACCCUAAUAAUCCUCUUUGCUCAGUCUAAAUUUGUGUAUUUCUUUCACUUCUGUCACUUAUUGCUUCACGUUUUGCAGCUGUUUUUUAGUGCAUACACACUGAUGGUUCUGAAAUCAUCUUUGUAAGUUGACAUUUUUAUCAUGUAAUCUCCCUGUUUUUCCCUGUUAUUUUUAUUUUCUCUGAAGAUUACUUCUUUUGUUCCAGUCAAUUUUGCAAGUUUAUUUGCCAAAGUUAAGGAUGCUUGCCUGUGACACAGCCUCAAGAGGUCCUGGCCACAUAUACCCAAGGUGGUUGGGGCGCAGCUUGGUUUUAUACACUUUUAGGAGAUAUCAGUUAAUGUGUAAGAUGCACAUUGGUUUGGUUUGGAAAG